Molecule: ribosomal RNA, 494 nt
Filed under: uncultured bacterium
Lineage: Bacteria
Description: partial 16S ribosomal RNA
Rfam family: Bacterial small subunit ribosomal RNA
Source: RNAcentral
GACGAACGCUGGCGGCGUGCUUAACACAUGCAAGUCGAACGGAAAGGCCUGCUUUCCCUUGUGGAUUGCGGGCACUCGAGUGGCGAACGGGUGAGUAACACGUGAGUGAUCUGCCCCCAACUUGGGUAUAAGCCUGGGAAACUGGGUCUAAUUCCCGAUAGGACUGCAGGGUGGUGCCUGUGGUGGAAAACGAUUUUCUAGUGGUUGGGGAUGAGCUCGCGGCCUAUCAGCUUGUUGGUGGGGUAAUGGCCUACCAAGGCGGCGACGGGUAGCCGGCCUGAGAGGGUGGACGGCCACAUUGGGACUGAGAUACGGCCCAGACUCCGACGGGAGGCAGCAGUGGGGAAUAUUGCACAAUGGGCGGAAGCCUGAUGCAGCGACGCCGCGUGGGGGAUGACGGCCUUCGGGUUGUAAACUCCUUUCGACCGCGAGGAAGCCACCUGGUUGGAAGGGUGGUGACGGUAGUGGUAGAAGAAGCACCGGCUAACUACGUG